ACGGGAGGCAGCAGUGAGGAAUAUUGGUCAAUGGACGGAAGUCUGAACCAGCCAUGCCGCGUGCAGGAAGACGGCUCUAUGAGUUGUAAACUGCUUUUGUGCGAGGGUAAACGCAGAUACGUGUAUCUGCCUGAAAGUAUCGUACGAAUAAGGAUCGGCUAACUCCGUGCCAGCAGCCGCGGUAAUACGGAGGAUCCAAGCGUUAUCCGGAUUUAUUGGGUUUAAAGGGUGCGUAGGCGGUUUAGUAAGUCAGCGGUGAAAUUUUGGUGCUUAACACCAAACGUGCCGUUGAUACUGCUGGGCUAGAGAGUAGUUGCGGUAGGCGGAAUGUAUGGUGUAGCGGUGAAAUGCUUAGAGAUCAUACAGAACACCGAUUGCGAAGGCAGCUUACCAAACUAUAUCUGACGUUGAGGCACGAAAGCGUGGGGAGCAAACAGGAUUAGAUACCCUGGUA
This 454-nucleotide ribosomal RNA is filed under the name uncultured Bacteroidales bacterium. RNAcentral describes it as "bacterial SSU rRNA". It matches the Rfam family "Bacterial small subunit ribosomal RNA", at positions 341 to 792 of the family's 1533-position model. The record is from RNAcentral. Lineage: Bacteria; Pseudomonadati; Bacteroidota; Bacteroidia; Bacteroidales.